AGUAUGAAACAGAAAUUAUGAAAAAUACCAUAUAAUUGAGAUUCAUGUCAACAUCGAAGUGCGACUACUGGGCUGGUGAUACCUCGGGGACGAAACGUCCCCUUGUUGUUGUGACACUUCGAUGUUGACAUGAAUCUCAAUUAUAUGGUAAUUUUCAUAAAUUUCUGUUUCAUAACU
This 177-nucleotide small RNA is filed under the name Mytilus galloprovincialis (Mediterranean mussel). Lineage: Eukaryota; Metazoa; Mollusca; Bivalvia; Mytilida; Mytilidae. The record is from RNAcentral.